This is a long non-coding RNA of Mus musculus (house mouse), 1189 nucleotides long. RefSeq annotates it as RIKEN cDNA 4933417C20 gene. The record is from RefSeq and is marked validated. Lineage: Eukaryota; Metazoa; Chordata; Mammalia; Rodentia; Muridae. The transcript has a single exon.
GCUUCCGCUGGUGCGAUGCGGAGUUGCCAGGCCGCCAUCUUGUCUUCGGCAGCUCUGAGGUAUCGGGAAAGAACAAAGGAGCGCCCCCAAAGAAGCACAACUACCAUCAAAAAAGGACGGAUUUGUUAAGGGAGGAAGGCUCCUAAGUAGAACAAUGGCUUUAAGUGGGCCUUGGGUUUCUGGAGGCGUCCUGCGUCUAGCACCGUUGACGUGGCGCCAUCUCGUGGGACUGUAGGAAGGUUGCACGGGCUUCCUGACUGGCUCUGGGCGCCGUGGUGGAAAGCGGCACGGUUUCAAGUGGCCGAACGCUCCAUUCUCCCUUGCCUAUAUGAGCUCUUGAUACGAAGUUUUCCACUGCCUUCGCUCUUUACUAGCGGUUUAUUUUGUAUUUUCAGCAGGGUUUGGAUUGAGUGAAUUUCCACGUAAAAUGUGGAGGAAUUCUUAGGACUUUGGGUUGCAGCAGCCCGGAUUAGUAAACCCCCAGCGUAAAACCGUUUUUCAAAUUAUCUUAAUUAUGACAGCAUAGAGACGUCCAUAACACCCAGUAAACCGAGACAGAAAACAAACAGUACCCAUUGGGAGGUAGAGCAAUCUGCUGUCAGCUUACAGAUGCUUAGGGGAGUUACUAGCAUCAGCAAGUCAAGGAAAAUGCUGCUACACUACACUUUAUAUUAAUGUAACAUUAAGGCAUGCAACCUGUACGAACUUCUCACACAAACUUGCACAAAAUGACAAGUUAGACAGGGAUGUAUGUCGUGUAUAGUUGCAACUUAAAUAAAAGUCUCAAACCACCAGUCCCAUGGCCUAUAGUGAUAAAAAUAAAAACAAUCCUUUUCUGGAGUGGACAAUGACAGAAAGGUGCCACCCUUUGAAGUUUAUGAAAAGGUGAAAUAAAAAGGAGGAGGACAUGGCUACUUCUAAAGUAUGGAGAAGAUUUUUUUUAUUAUUUUUAAUUUUUUUUUGUAGCUAUAAGGAAGACAGGCAGAGGGAAGGGUCCAGGUCGAACAUGACUGUUAGACUAAAUACAACAUAAGAGCAAGAGGGGCCUUGAACCUGUAAGAGUCCAUGAAUGGUCUAAGAAUCAUACCCUAGGCUCAAACAGUAUGUAAACGCACAGAGUGUUUUAUUCUGCAGAAGUCCAGCGGUGCUGGAGUCUCCCAUUACCAGAAAUAAAGAGUCAACCAAGUGA